Molecule: unclassified non-coding RNA, 285 nt
Filed under: plant metagenome
Description: partial contains small subunit ribosomal RNA, internal transcribed spacer 1, and 5.8S ribosomal RNA
Rfam family: Eukaryotic small subunit ribosomal RNA (bases 1-54)
Source: RNAcentral
GGAAGUAAAAGUCGUAACAAGAUUUCCGUAGGUGAACCUGCGGAAGGAUCAUUAUUGUAUAACCGAGGUGCGAGGGCUGUCGCUGACCCGAAAGGUCGUGCACACCCGAGUGCCCUCACACACAUCCAUCUCACCCCUAUGUGCACCACCGCGUGGGUCCCCCUUUGGCUUGUUCGGAGGGGGGCUUACGUUUUCACACAAACUUUGUAUGCAGUGUAGAAUGUAUUUUUUGUUUUUGCGAUCACGCAAUCAAUACAACUUUCAACAACGGAUCUCUUGGCUCUC